RNAcentral lists this long non-coding RNA (1170 nucleotides) under Sus scrofa (pig). RNAcentral's name for it is "lncRNA (ENSSSCG00065069123.1)". Lineage: Eukaryota; Metazoa; Chordata; Mammalia; Artiodactyla; Suidae. The record is from RNAcentral.
AUGCAGAGUGGCCUGGGAGGUGGGGUGCUAUGCGCCAUCACCCCAUUGAAUAGAUGGAGAGAGCCAGGCGCCGAAUGGGUCACAUUGCGAGUUGGGGACCAAGAAGAUUACUGCGGGAUGUCAGAAAUGGGCAGAAAUACUGUGCUGUCAGACCCUGGAGGAAUCCAGAAAAUUCUUAAGCCAGAGAAGACUUCGGGAGACCAUAGCGCCCACCCCCAUUUCACAGACGCGGCCACUGAGGCCCAGAAAAGAGAAGACACUUUGUUCAAGGCCACGCCCUAGGAACUAGAACCCAGAUCCUGAUCUGCCUUCACUCUGCCCCGGCUGUCUGCCCCACGCCAUCCCUGGGCCUUGGGGUGGGGUCCCCAUACUCACACAAGCCAUGACUGAGGAGACAAGGAUGUUCCUACAACUGCAGCACCAGCUGUCCGAAGACUCUACCGGAGAGAAGGGCCGCCGGCCUCUCCCACCCUUUUAACUGGACCAGACCCCGGUGAGUCCCGCCCCCUGGGGGCUCAGCCAAUUGUAAGUCAGGACAGGGAUGGGGGCCACGGGGAGGUGGAGUCAAUGGAAUUUUGAAGCCUGUUCUGGAGCAGAGGUGACCAAUCAGAGUGGAGACCCCCCCCCAAUUCCUUCCUAGCCACUCCCCCAGGAUCAAGACUCCACCUCCCAUUUUGCUUCAGCCUUCCCUACCCGCACCCCCGCCAAAUUGUGCUGUGGCAGGGAUUGGGGGAAACCAGUGGAAAAUAGUUUGAGGAUGAGCUAGACCCAAGCGUUGGUGGGAAGAGAGCCAGGGGCAGCUGCCUGAGUUCAGGGGGUACUAAGAGAAGGUGGCUGAGGGGGUGCAGGGUCCUUCAAAGAAUUAGUUCUGGGGUUUGCAAGGCUGCUCCCUGGAAGGAGCCAGGGCGUGGCCGGCUGUUGAGGGGGGCAAUCUCUGCGGAGGGCCCAGAACCAUUAACCACAGAGCCCCGGCCCCGCCCGGGCCUCCCCCGGAAGCAGGGAUUACUGCUGCUGCUCGUGCUCCUCACAAGGGCUAAAGAAAGACUGGGCUGGUGCCAGGGCUGAGGCUGCCGCCCAGGCUCAGGGCUCAGACCUCAGGCUUGGAGCCUCCCGAGGGGCCUGCAGGGGAUCCUCCAGGGGCCUCCGCCUGACAGCUUCUGGCCUCUAAGA